This 107-nucleotide small nuclear RNA is filed under the name Dasypus novemcinctus (nine-banded armadillo). The record is from RNAcentral. Lineage: Eukaryota; Metazoa; Chordata; Mammalia; Cingulata; Dasypodidae.
GUGCUCACUUCUGCAGCAUAUAUACUAAAAUUGGAACAAUACGGAGAAGAUUAGCAUGGCCUCUGUGCAAGGAUGACAUGCAAAUUCAUGAAGUAUUCCAUAUUUUU